This is a small nucleolar RNA of Cercocebus atys (sooty mangabey), 132 nucleotides long. The record is from Ensembl. NCBI's taxonomy places the organism in Eukaryota, Metazoa, Chordata, Mammalia, Primates, Cercopithecidae.
CCCUCCUACAAAGGCGUGUCUGUGGUUCCCUGUCUUUGUACACGUAAGAAUUGGAGGCAAAGAAAUGUGGAUUUGGGAAACUUUGAGGCCAGCUUGCUCCUUGCAGGCUUAUGAUCAACCAAUCUCACAUAG